AUAUAUUCUCCUGUGAAUUCUUUUUUUAUUAGAUUUUAUUAUCUAAAAAAACAUAGAUGUUCCAUUUGUACUAUAUAUCUUAUACUCUACCAUUAACAUUAAGAAAUGAAUUUUAAAAUCCGACCAACAACAAAAAAAAAUGAAUUUAAAAUAGAUUGGUUAAUUUUGUUUAUUUUUUAUUAUUAUAAAUGUGUGUGGACAGAGACUUUGUAAUCUAGGGAGUAUUGACUCUUGUUAGGUAGAUGUUUAGGUGAAAAUAGUUGGACAUUAUGGUUUAUGACUAUAUUUUUACAGGUUAAGAACAAAAAAAAAAAGAAAUUGUGUAUAAGCUAGCUGUCAUUUUGUGAAAUAUGAAAUAUCAACUUCCAUCUUUGAAGUUCAAUAUAUGGUUAAAUCCCAUCAUCCAUCCUUUAUAAAUUCC
Molecule: long non-coding RNA, 421 nt
Filed under: Capsella rubella
Lineage: Eukaryota; Viridiplantae; Streptophyta; Magnoliopsida; Brassicales; Brassicaceae
Description: long non-coding RNA (CRUB_LNC001362)
Source: RNAcentral